Pistacia vera is the source of this 1390-nucleotide RNA transcript. It is a transcript of the gene named transcription factor bHLH115-like, with no coding region annotated. Lineage: Eukaryota; Viridiplantae; Streptophyta; Magnoliopsida; Sapindales; Anacardiaceae. The transcript has 7 exons. The record is from RefSeq and is a predicted model, not a curated record.
CGAAGGUCGUUUUUGUGUUUGUGUUGCUUUCUGAUUCUCGCUUUUCUUGUGGUGGUAGUGGAAGAUAUGUGAAGUCUCUCUUUUACAAUAUUCUCUAUCUUUUUGUUUUCAAGCCAUCAUAUGAUUGAUAUCUCAACCAACCCAGUUCACUCGUUUCUUUACCAUCAUCUUUAUUCACUUAUUCCCCAUUCCACAGCGUCUCACUGUCACUCAUAAUUCAGAGACAGACACACAGUCAUGGCUUCACCUGAUAAUCCCAAUAACUGGAUAUUUGAUUAUGGUUUGUUAGAAGACAUUCAUGGCGAACUUCCCUCUCUUGACCCCCCUCAGGUUCUUUGGCAUUCUUCUUCUUCUGCCUCCCCUGACCCUCCACUUCCUCUCAGUGUGGACUUUGAUGAUUCCUUUGCCAAUUUGGAUGCUCUUAAAGAAAUUGGUUCCCGUAAAAGGGUGAGGUCUGGAUCAUGCAGUGCUUUUGGUACCAAAGCAUGUAGAGAGAAGAUGCGAAGAGAUAGGCUAAAUGAUAGGUUCUUGGAACUUGGUUCUAUUCUGGAUCCUGGAAGACUGCCAAAAAUGGACAAGGCUGUUUUAUUGUCUGAUGCUGUUCGAAUGGUGAUUCAAUUGCGUGAUGAAGCUCGGAAGCUGAAAGAUACAAAUGACAGUUUGCUGGAGAAGAUCAAUGAAUUAAAGGCUGAGAAGAAUGAGCUUCGUGAUGAGAAACAAAGGCUAAAGACUGAGAAAGAGAAUCUUGAUCGGCAAGUGAAAGCCUUGAGUUCUCAGCCAGGCUUCCUACCACACCCUCCUGCAAUACCAGCUCCAUUUUCUGCCCCAGGGCAAGUUGUUGGUGGCAAAUUGGUGCCUUUUGUUGGCUAUCCUGGAGUUUCUAUGUGGCAGUUCAUGCCACCUGCUGCUGUUGAUACUUCACAAGAUCAUGUUCUCCGCCCACCAGUUGCUUAAUAAUCUGUCGGUUUAUAAUUGUUGGGUCUUCCUACUUCAACAGCAGGAUACCUUUGUUCAUAAUGAAUCUUGAUAUGGCUCUUGGCGGUGUUUUCUCAUUUAUUUUUGAUGUUAGUUUGUCCAAGGCUGGGACUUGGAAUUGUGAGAGUAAAAUAUGAUCAUAUAUGUUGGGGAAUUCUGAACUCUCAUUGAGUUCAGAUAACAAAUUUGCUUUUUACUUUUGCAUGAAUGGGAGCACAUUUGAAAGUGUGAAGGUGGGCUCUCAGAAUUGAAUCAGAUAGUUUUCUCUGGAAAAGGGUAGUUUGAACCCCAUAUAUUUCCCAGAUGUGUAAUCACUCCAAACAUCAAGAGCUCCAAAGCUGGUCAUCAAAACUGCACUUAAAGCCAUAACUAUACUGACUGAAAAUACGAUCAACGAAGCCCUUCCAAAUUUCUG